AUCCUUAUUUAGCAAAGCUACUACUAAACCUAGUAUGCUAGUAUUCAUCUCAUAAAGGAACUUGAAUUCAAUGCAUCUAGGAUUUCAAACAACAUCUAUACUUAAUGCACAAUACAAGCCUACAAAAAUAAUUGCAGUAAAAUAGCAUAAUAACGGUUAUGCAUAAAACCGGGACUUGCCUAGAAUCCAACACUAGCUAGUGUUUGCUAGAGGGUAAUCACUCGACGAGCAUCCACUUUUUCAGUCCAUCCUUCUUCGGGUUGUCCACCAACUUCAUCUUGUGGUCCACCCCCCUUCACGUCCUUCACUUCACACGAUCAUCAUCUCUCGGUACUAAAUGAGAUGCAUGAUGCAUAUGUAUGAACAUGACGAAAAAAACACAAGACACUCCAAGGCACAUGGUAGCAAACUAAACAUUAAAUCGUAAGACACCAUAAAUAACUAUAUGCAAGCGCUAUCUAUCUAUACGUUAUCGGGCACACAAAGUCAACAUCACUGGAAAAACACCAAACACUUCCUUUAGUUAACCAACUCAAACAAGAAAUCACAAGUACAAGCAUUCAUCCAAUUUGUUUGUCUUUCAUUAGUUCUUCUAUUGACCACACAAGAGCAACCAGAACAACAUAAGUUUAAAUUGGCCAUGGACAUUGAUGACUAUGGAACUCCUAUCACAGCCAACUAUAGAGAGCAAGCACAUUAAUCAUGGUAUACAUGUUAAUUUAAGUUUAUCCAUUGCAAGUCUACAUCAAUUAAGCGCUAACCAAGUAUUUUUACUCAAAAGGGUGAACUCAAUAAUAAAAUGAGCACUUGUAGAUUUUUGGAUAGCAGCAUAACAGUUAUUCUAUUAAUCAUAACUCAAAAAAUAUUCAUCCAAAAAUAGUUAACAAAGACUUUCGAAAAAGCUUACAAAGUACUCUAUAACUUUAGUAUUAUCAACUCAACGUGAUUAGACCCUUAGCAAGGUCAAUUAGUGCUAAAACGAUGACUCUAUCCAGAUUUGGACACAUUCAGAUUUCUUACUUCAAAAAUCCAUAACUAGAGGCUCAUGCAUCCAAAAUAAGCGAUCCUAGACUUUCUAAAAAAUUUAAUGAAAUUGCCAACAAAACAUUUAUAAACAUUCUAGGCUGAUUCAAUAUGCAUCAAGGGUAAAGGACAUCAGGAAAGCCUUGCUGUCCAGAUUUGGACAGAUUCAUGCUCCACACUUCAAACAUUUAUAACUUGAGCUUUAGACAAUCAAAAAGUGCGAUCCAAGACUUUUUGGAAAUCCUAUUAAAAAUACUACACACACUCUAUAAUCAUCAAAAGUAAUUCCUAGUUCAAUUAAUCCAAACAACACAAUUUUCGAAAUCUAUUCAGAGAGUGGAUAGAAUACAACAAUCUUUUUGUAAAAUUCAUAUCUCUGAAACUAUCAGUCCUAUGGUCAUUAAAUUUUAACACAAGCAAGAUAAGUAAGUUAUCUACAACUUUCUUAUGAUCACCUUAAGAUGAUUUAGUAAUUAACUAGUACAAGUGUUAGCAAAAAGCAAUGUUGUUAGAUUUCAAUGUGCAACUUAAAAUAGUCAUGAACAGUGUUCUAUAUAUCAAAUACAUAUGGUUCUAGACUUUUUAGAAAUCUUAGGAAAAACACUAAAACUCUUACAAUAUCUCUAAGAAGUGAUUCUAAGUCUAAGUUAGUCAAACAACACAAUCAUUGAGAUAUAUGUACAGAAAACAAGUAAAUCCGGACAGUGAACUUGCUAGAAGCAUAACUUCUAGACCAUUAAUCAUUAGCUCAUGAAAUUUUAGUACAAUCUAUAUAAUUAAGUUAAUUACAACUUUUAUAUAGAACAUAUCUAUAAAAACAUAUUUUUACUUUACUAGAUUAAUUAUAUACUCGAAACUGUACCUGCAAUCCUCACAACGACGACAUUUUGCUUCAUUUUUUACAUAGCCAUUACAAUUAUCAUCCACUCGCUACUCUAGUUGCUUUAAAACCUAACCAUAGUCACACAAUUGGUGGUGUGAUAGCUAUGAAGUCAUGACAUCCCUUCACUAAACAAUCCAAUUAAACCAAACAACUCUAACUGAACUCGUCGACUGGUCUAUUAAAUUCUAACCUCUUGACAUGAUGAAAUCAAUAUGAUAAACCACUAAUGAACCAUAAUUAAAUAUCUACCUUCUAUAAUUUAUUAUCUUGAGCUAACAACAUAGAAGGUGAUACCUCUAAGACAAGAUAUUCAUGUUACCAUAAAUUAAGAGUUCACACAAGUAAUACUAAUAGCGCUUAUCAGUCAAAGGGCUAGAUGCUCUAAACAUUUUCUUUGAAUACUUAAUCACACCUCAUCAUCUCAUCUUCCAAAGCAUUCUUUGGCUAAGCAAUACCAUCUUCCACAGACAUAGAAACUACUUAAUCAAUUAAAUACUCAUCCUACACAAUCAUUUUAAACCUUAGGUUUAUGUGACACAACAACUCCAUAAGCAUGGCCACAAUCCUCACAUACAUCGAAUCAAUUAGAGUAGCAUUAGACUUAUAUCUACACUAGAACAUCCUUUGCAUAAACCACACUCCAACCUAACUUUUACCACACUAUACAACUACUCCACAACCAUGAACACAUUCACGUCACUGGGUGAUAUGGAAUGAAACAUUUUUUUGCAAGCACUAAAUACAACCAUAGCAUCACAAAAUAGAAAGGAGAGGAAAGAUUCUUCCCUAACAUCACCAUAGAACAAUACACAUAUGCACAACAACGGAUCUGACCAACAUACCACAACGCAUUAGUUAAAGACCCACAAAGAAUUAUUGUGACGAGAGUAUCUAUCAAUCUAUUCAUCAUAUCAAUUAGCCGGACAAGCGAAUCAUUUAACCACUUUCUAAAUCCGACUCGAAAUCGUGAGAUCGAUGACGAUGUCUGGUUCAAGCAAUUCAUCAAACACCAAGAAGAAGUUGUGUUGGAUUUGCUUCUCCACACAACAAUGGGAUUCCUUUGCUCCAAUCUCGCACACAUAUACACAUAUAUUACAACACUCUUUCUCAUACGCACAACAUGGUCAACAGCAGGGGACAGGAGCUCACCAGAGGGACGUGCGUUAGGCACUGGGGACGUCGACCGAGCAUAGAGAGAUGGCACGCCAGGGGAUGGAGGCAGCAGGGCACCACCAUGGGGCUGAGGAGCUCGGCUGGGCAUAGAAACAAGGAGCAGGGAACGCUGGGAGGUGGACGAACUGCAGAAGGUGGCGAGCACUUGGGGUCGCGGUGGCUUGGAGCGGCGUGAGGAAGAGCUUGCCAGGGAGGCCAGUGGACAUCACCCAUGGCAAGCGCGCAGGGGCAAGGGGGCGGGUCCGACAGGUGCGGUCAAACGCAGGGACGAAGGGGAGAGGGGUUGAGAGCAGGGGCGAGCUCCAGGGCGGCGGCACGGCAUGCCAGAUGAGGGCGAACUGGUGGGGGCGAUGCAGGGAGGGGGGCGCAGACCAGCGCUCUGGGCAGGGAGCCAGGGAGCGCGGCGUGAGGAAAUUGAGGAGGGCGGCUGCUUCACGG
RNAcentral lists this long non-coding RNA (3517 nucleotides) under Zea mays. RNAcentral's name for it is "long non-coding RNA (ZMAY_LNC000337)". The record is from RNAcentral. Lineage: Eukaryota; Viridiplantae; Streptophyta; Magnoliopsida; Poales; Poaceae.